RNAcentral lists this ribosomal RNA (497 nucleotides) under uncultured bacterium. Its description in RNAcentral is "partial 16S ribosomal RNA". It matches the Rfam family "Bacterial small subunit ribosomal RNA", at positions 28 to 507 of the family's 1533-position model. The record is from RNAcentral.
GAUGAACGCUGGCGGCGUGCCUAAUACAUGCAAGUCGAGCGAACGGACGAGAAGCUUGCUUCUCUGAUGUUAGCGGCGGACGGGUGAGUAACACGUGGAUAACCUACCUAUAAGACUGGGAUAACUUCGGGAAACCGGAGCUAAUACCGGAUAAUAUUUUGAACCGCAUGGUUCAAAAGUGAAAGACGGUCUUGCUGUCACUUAUAGAUGGAUCCGCGCUGCAUUAGCUAGUUGGUAAGGUAACGGCUUACCAAGGCAACGAUGCAUAGCCGACCUGAGAGGGUGAUCGGCCACACUGGAACUGGGACACGGUCCAGACUCCUACGGGAAGCAGCAGUAGGGAAUCUUCCGCAAUGGGCGGAAAGCUGACAGAGCAACGGCGGGUGAGUGGUGGAAGUCUUCGGAUCGUAAAACUCUGUUAUUAGGGAAAAACAUAUGUGUAAGUUACUGUGCACAACUUGACGGUACCUAAUUAAGAAGCCACGGCUAACUACGUG